This 93-nucleotide non-coding RNA is filed under the name chicken gut metagenome. RNAcentral describes it as "SAM riboswitch (S box leader)". It matches the Rfam family "SAM riboswitch aptamer (S box leader)". From Rfam's summary of the family: The SAM riboswitch is found upstream of a number of genes which code for proteins involved in methionine or cysteine biosynthesis in Gram-positive bacteria. The SAM riboswitch acts at the level of transcription termination control. The record is from RNAcentral.
CUUAUCAAGAGUGGCGGAGGGACCGGCCCUAUGAAGCCCGGCAACCUGCGAAAGCAAGGUGCCAAUUCCGGCGGUAGUGAUCGAAAGAUGAGG